RNAcentral lists this ribosomal RNA (426 nucleotides) under uncultured bacterium. Its description in RNAcentral is "bacterial SSU rRNA". It matches the Rfam family "Bacterial small subunit ribosomal RNA", at positions 9 to 435 of the family's 1533-position model. The record is from RNAcentral.
GAGUUUGAUCCUGGCUCAGGACGAACGCUGGCGGCACGCCUAACACAUGCAAGUCGAACGGACGAGAGGAAGCUUGCUUCCUUGAGUUAGUGGCGGACGGGUGAGUAACACGUGAGCAACCUGCCUCUGAGAGAGGGAUAGCUUCUGGAAACGGAUGGUAAUACCUCAUAACAUAUUUAAAUCGCAUGAUUUGGAUAUCAAAGAAAUUCGCUCAGAGAUGGGCUCGCGUCUGAUUAGAUAGUUGGUGAGGUAACGGCUCACCAAGUCGACGAUCAGUAGCCGGACUGUGAGGUUGAACGGCCACAUUGGGACUGAGACACGGCCCAGACUCCUACGGGAGGCAGCAGUGGGGAAUAUUGCACAAUGGGGGAAACCCUGAUGCAGCGAUGCCGCGUAAGGAAGAAGGUUUUCGGAUGUAAACUCCUU